UCUCUAAGCAACGGAUGUCUUGGCUCCUCACACGAUGAAGAACGUGGCAUAAUGUGUUAAGUAACCGGAGUUGCAAACAUCAUGACAGGUUAAUCUUUGAAUGCAAAUUGCGCUUACCCGGCUUCGGUCGAGGAGCAUGCGUGUAACAGUACAACAUAAUUUAUAA
Molecule: ribosomal RNA, 166 nt
Filed under: Trichomonas gallinae
Lineage: Eukaryota; Parabasalia; Trichomonadida; Trichomonadidae
Description: 5.8S ribosomal RNA
Rfam family: 5.8S ribosomal RNA
About the family: 5.8S ribosomal RNA (5.8S rRNA) is a component of the large subunit of the eukaryotic ribosome. It is transcribed by RNA polymerase I as part of the 45S precursor that also contains 18S and 28S rRNA. Functionally, it is thought that 5.8S rRNA may be involved in ribosome translocation.
Source: RNAcentral